This 465-nucleotide ribosomal RNA is filed under the name uncultured bacterium. RNAcentral's name for it is "partial 16S ribosomal RNA". It matches the Rfam family "Bacterial small subunit ribosomal RNA", at positions 28 to 507 of the family's 1533-position model. The record is from RNAcentral.
GACGAACGCUGGCGGCGUGCUUAACACAUGCAAGUCGAACGGAAAGGCCCCUUUGGGGGUACUCGAGUGGCGAACGGGUGAGUAACACGUGAGUAACCUGCCCUUGACUUCGGGAUAACUUCAGGAAACUGGGGCUAAUACCGGAUAGGAAUCCUUGCUGCAUGGUGGGGGUUGGAAAGCUUCGGCGGUUUUGGAUGGACUCGCGGCUUAUCAGCUUGUUGGUGGGGUAGUGGCUUACCAAGGCUUUGACGGGUAGCCGGCCUGUGAGGGCGACCGGCCACAUUGGGACUGAGAGACGGCCCAGACUCCUACGGGAGGCAGCAGUGGGGAAUAUUGCACAAUGGGCGGAAGCCUGAUGCAGCAACGCCGCGUGCGGGAUGACGGCCUUCGGGUUGUAAACCGCUUUCAGCAGGGGCGAAGCUUGUGGUGACGGUACCUGCAGAAGAAGCACCGGCUAACUACGUG